The sequence is a ribosomal RNA, 397 nucleotides long. It matches the Rfam family "Bacterial small subunit ribosomal RNA", at positions 341 to 754 of the family's 1533-position model.
ACGGAAGGCAGCCGUGGGGAAUAUUGGGCAAUGGGCGCAAGCCUGACCCAGCAACGCCGCGUGAAGGAAGAAGGCUUCGGGUUGUAAACUUCUUUUGUCAGGGAAGAGUAGAAGACGGUACCUGGCGAAUAAGCCACGGCUAACUACGUGCCAGCAGCCGCGGUAAUACGUAGGUGGCAAGCGUUGUCCGGAUUUACUGGGUGUAAAGGGCGUGUAGCCGGGUCGGUAAGUCAGAUGUGAAAUCCACGGGCUCAACUCGUGAACUGCAUUUGAAGCUGCUGAUCUUGAGUAUCGGAGAGGCAAUCGGAAUUCCUAGUGUAGCGGUGAAAUGCGUAGAUAUUAGGAGGAACACCAGUGGCGAAGGCGGAUUGCUGGACGACAACUGACGGUGAGGCGC